This is a long non-coding RNA of Coregonus clupeaformis (lake whitefish), 1296 nucleotides long. RefSeq lists it as uncharacterized. The record is from RefSeq and is a predicted model, not a curated record. The transcript is spliced from 3 exons. Lineage: Eukaryota; Metazoa; Chordata; Actinopteri; Salmoniformes; Salmonidae.
GUGGUUGGACGUUUUAUUGCUCUCUUUCUCUCCUCCUCUCUCUCUCCCUCUCUUUCUCCUCCUCUCUCGCUGUCUCUCCCUCAGUCUCUCAGUCCCUCUUUAUCCGUCCGUGAGUUUGUUUGCCUUGGCGAGUGCAACAUCUGGCUCUGAUCAGUGGCUUUCCUAUCUUCUUGUUUUUCUUUUCAUUUGUUUCCCUUACUGAGUGAGCUGUGCCUACGUUAUCUACCACCUGCGCAUCCUGGAAGAGUGCAUCUCCGGGACUAGAAAGACUGGCUGGCUGGCUGGUUGGCUGGUUGCCUUACUGAUUUGACUGACAGACUCUGUGGGUCUUGGGUGCUUUGGGGCUGUGGCGUCCAGCACAGAGGCUGAAGGUAUACAGGGGGGGUUACGCCCGUUUCACUGCACCGGCGGCAGCAGUAGGAGCACAUAUUUCCCUGUGCUCUCUCUGUGCUCCCUGCUCUCACUUGCAUAGUAACCCACAUAAAUCAAGCAUGGAACGGGGCCGCACGGUGGCGUCGGCAGCAGCUGCAGCCUUAACGAUCCCAGUCUUCUCCUCGCAGGUGAGGCGAGCGUCAGACGACUGACUCCCCGGCAUUGUGCACAGUGGAAGGGAAGCUCUCUCUCAGGAGGAACAGGAAUUUAAGGGGCACUCAUUUAGCUUGAAUUUGCAUCAGUAAAAGCUGAUUGCCCCGUGCCACAGAGGAGUGCAAACGAAUGAAGGGAAUUCGGAGGAGAGGAAAGGUCUGAUUGGUGCCUGCAGUGUCUUCAUUUCUGUUUGCAGAACACAUCUAACAUGGAAGGCCCCACCUGCCCCAUCCUCGGGCAGCAGGCCAUCUUCAAUCAAUCACUCAGCCCAUAGAGAACAUGACAUCACUCAGGCUCACACCACUAUUGAGGACCUCUGAGUUCCCCUGCUGCUGUCCCCAAUGACCUCUCUUCUCUUCCUCCCCCUCCUUCUCUGUGACUCUCUUCGGUGACGGGUAUUCUUGGGUGGAUAAUACGGAUCACGUUGUUAUUGCUUAAGAAUACGCGUAGUUGAGGAGAGUCCUCUCGACACUGACUUGGAGGAGCUAAAGGAGCUAACGUCCUGCUGCAUGAGCCAAAGUAGAGCCAGGAUGACUGCCUGGUUUCCAUAUCCAGGACCAUUUAUCAAGCAACUAGACAGAUUAACAAAGCCUAAUUACUUUACUAGGCUUUCAGCUCUGCUUUCCAGCCCCUAUAGACACUAGCAGCAAAGACAGAAAGACAGACAGAGGGAGAGAGAGAGAGAGAGAGAGAGAGAGAGAGAGAGAGAGA